ACGUGAGUAACCUGCCCCAGACUCUGGGAGUAAGCGUUGGAAACGACGUCUAAUACCGGAUACGAGCUUCAGCCGCAUGGCUAGGAGCUGGAAAGAAUUUCGGUCUGGGAUGGACUCGCGGCCUAUCAGCUAGUUGGUGAGGUAACGGCUCACCAAGGCGACGAUCAGUAGCUGGUCUGAGAGGAUAAUCAGCCACACUGGGACUGAGACACGGCCCAGACUCCUACGGGAGGCAGCAGUGGGGAAUAUUGGACAAUGGGCGCAAGCCUGAUCCAGCCAUGCCGCGUGAGUGAUGAAGGC
Molecule: ribosomal RNA, 300 nt
Filed under: uncultured Salinibacterium sp.
Lineage: Bacteria; Bacillati; Actinomycetota; Actinomycetes; Micrococcales; Microbacteriaceae
Description: bacterial SSU rRNA
Rfam family: Bacterial small subunit ribosomal RNA
Source: RNAcentral